CCUACGGGAGGCAGCAGUGAGGAAUAUUGGUCAAUGGCCGGAAGGCUGAACCAGCCAUGCCGCGUGAAGGUCAGUGCCCUAUGGGCGUUAAACUUCUUUUGUGCGGGAGCAAUAAUGGACACGUGUGGCCAGACGAGAGUACCGUACGAAUAAGCAUCGGCUAACUCCGUGCCAGCAGCCGCGGUAAUACGGGGGAUGCAAGCGUUAUCCGGAUUUAUUGGGGUUAAAGGGUGCGGAGGCUGUGAGGUAAGUCAGCGGUGAAAUGCCCCCGCUCAACGGGGUGAAGGGCCAUUGAUACUGCCUUGCUGGAAUGCGGAUGCCGUGGGAGGAAUGUGUGGUGUAGCGGUGAAAUGCAUAGAUAUCACACAGAACACCGAUUGCGAAGGCAUCUCACGAAUCCGCGAUUGACGCUGAUGCACGAAAGCGUGGGUAUCAAACAGGAUUAGAUACCCCAGUAGUC
This 460-nucleotide ribosomal RNA is filed under the name uncultured bacterium. RNAcentral's name for it is "partial 16S ribosomal RNA". It matches the Rfam family "Bacterial small subunit ribosomal RNA", at positions 338 to 795 of the family's 1533-position model. The record is from RNAcentral.